This 656-nucleotide ribosomal RNA is filed under the name uncultured bacterium. RNAcentral's name for it is "bacterial SSU rRNA". It matches the Rfam family "Bacterial small subunit ribosomal RNA", at positions 8 to 637 of the family's 1533-position model. The record is from RNAcentral.
AGAGUUUGAUCCUGGCUCAGAUUGAACGCUGGCGGCAGGCUUAACACAUGCAAGUCGAGCGGUAACAUUUCUAGCUUGCUAGAAGAUGACGAGCGGCGGACGGGUGAGUAAUGCUUGGGAAUAUGCCUUUACGUGGGGGACAACAGUUGGAAACGACUGCUAAUACCGCAUAAUGUCUUCGGACCAAAGGAGGGGACUCUUCGGAGCCUUUCGCGUAAAGAUUAGCCCAAGUGGGAUUAGCUAGUUGGUGGGGUAAUGGCUCACCAAGGCGACGAUCCCUAGCUGGCUUGAGAGGAUGAUCAGCCACACUGGGACUGAGACACGGCCCAGACUCCUACGGGAGGCAGCAGUGGGGAAUAUUGCACAAUGGGCGAAAGCCUGAUGCACCAUGCCGCGUGUGUGAAGAAGGCUUCGGGUUGUAAAGCACUUUCAGUCGUGANGAANGGGUAAGUAAUUAAUACUUUGCUAUCUUUGACCGUUAGCGACAAGAAGAAGGACCGGCUAACUCCGUGCCAACAANCCGGGGGAAUACCGGAGGGUCCGAGCCGUUAAUCGGAAUUACUGGGCCGUAAAAGCGUACCCNAGCCGGGUUUGUUAAACCNAAAUGUGAAAAUCCCCCGGGCUUCAACCCUGGGAAAUGGCAUUUUGGAACUUGG